This 293-nucleotide long non-coding RNA is filed under the name Elaeis guineensis (African oil palm). Its description in RNAcentral is "long non-coding RNA (EGUI_LNC001254)". The record is from RNAcentral. Lineage: Eukaryota; Viridiplantae; Streptophyta; Magnoliopsida; Arecales; Arecaceae.
UCAUCCAUUUUGAUGAUUGCAAUUGACCCAACUCAUCACAGGAUCGACCAUGUGAAAAAUAUACAUAAUAGAUGUACAAGAGUAACAAGACCACAAACAAUUGGUGACUUAUGUAAUGCGUUACUGCAGCCGGUCCUGCUUCUCUUUUUGGAUAAAUUUCUGAGGUUUCAAAUCCUUUUGGAGUGGACUUGGACUAUUCAUCAUGAUCAAAUUUGACUUCAUCAAGUCUUGGCAGCUGUUGAUGAGAGUUUGUUUUCACCAGAAAGGGACGCGUGGCCAUUGAUUGGGCGGCU